This is a long non-coding RNA of Fundulus heteroclitus (mummichog), 413 nucleotides long. RefSeq lists it as uncharacterized. The transcript is spliced from 3 exons. The record is from RefSeq and is a predicted model, not a curated record. Lineage: Eukaryota; Metazoa; Chordata; Actinopteri; Cyprinodontiformes; Fundulidae.
GAACUAGAAUUUCAGAAGUAAAAUUAAACCUUUUUUUUAAGUAAUACAUGAAUUUUGGAGAAAGAGUAAGUUUUACUUAGAUUUCCUUAAACUAUUUAAAUGCUUAAUAGUAGUAUGAACAUAAACCUACAAAUACUGCAUAAACUUUACUCAAAAAUGUUGCGUUUCGAAACGGUCGCAAGCGCAUGCGCACUGUAGCUCACAGCAGGACCGCUUCUGCUCCGAGUCCAGACGUUACAAGAUCACACACAGAGCAAGAGGUGGUCCCGACGACAGUCAUUCUUCAGGAAGCAAAUCACAUAAAAACAUUAUCCUCAUUAUUCAGUGUCCUUUGGAGGAGCCAGUGGACUUUGUGGACAGUUGGACUUGAGGUCUAGGGAGAGGAGGUAGAGGAGGAACCGUUAUUUGCAGCC